Molecule: ribosomal RNA, 520 nt
Filed under: uncultured bacterium
Lineage: Bacteria
Description: bacterial SSU rRNA
Rfam family: Bacterial small subunit ribosomal RNA
Source: RNAcentral
AAUAGAUACCCAGGUAGUCCACGCCGUAAACGAUGAGUGCUAAGUGUUAGAGGGUUUCCGCCCUUUAGUGCUGAAGUUAACGCAUUAAGCACUCCGCCUGGGGAGUACGGCCGCAAGGCUGAAACUCAAAGGAAUUGACGGGGGCCCGCACAAGCGGUGGAGCAUGUGGUUUAAUUCGAAGCAACGCGAAGAACCUUACCAGGUCUUGACAUCCUCUGACAACCCUAGAGAUAGGGCUUCUCCUUCGGGAGCAGAGUGACAGGUGGUGCAUGGUUGUCGUCAGCUCGUGUCGUGAGAUGUUGGGUUAAGUCCCGCAACGAGCGCAACCCUUAAUCUUAGUUGCCAUCAUUCAGUUGGGCACUCUAAGGUGACUGCCGGUGACAAACCGGAGGAAGGUGGGGAUGACGUCAAAUCAUCAUGCCCCUUAUGACCUGGGCUACACACGUGCUACAAUGGACGGUACAAAGAGCUGCAAGACCGCGAGGUGGAGCUAAUCUCAUAAAACCGUUCUCAGUUCGGA